This 617-nucleotide ribosomal RNA is filed under the name Lodderomyces parapsilosis. Its description in RNAcentral is "eukaryotic LSU rRNA". It matches the Rfam family "Eukaryotic large subunit ribosomal RNA", at positions 37 to 664 of the family's 3401-position model. The record is from RNAcentral. Lineage: Eukaryota; Fungi; Ascomycota; Pichiomycetes; Serinales; Debaryomycetaceae.
UGCAUAUCCAAAUAAGCGGAGGAAAAGAAACCAACAGGGAUUGCCUUAGUAGCGGCGAGUGAAGCGGCAAAAGCUCAAAUUUGAAAUCUGGCACUUUCAGUGUCCGAGUUGUAAUUUGAAGAAGGUAUCUUUGGGUCUGGCUCUUGUCUAUGUUUCUUGGAACAGAACGUCACAGAGGGUGAGAAUCCCGUGCGAUGAGAUGUCCCAGACCUAUGUAAAGUUCCUUCGAAGAGUCGAGUUGUUUGGGAAUGCAGCUCUAAGUGGGUGGUAAAUUCCAUCUAAAGCUAAAUAUUGGCGAGAGACCGAUAGCGAACAAGUACAGUGAUGGAAAGAUGAAAAGAACUUUGAAAAGAGAGUGAAAAAGUACGUGAAAUUGUUGAAAGGGAAGGGCUUGAGAUCAGACUUGGUAUUUUGUAUGUUACUCUCUCGGGGGUGGCCUCUACAGUUUACCGGGCCAGCAUCAGUUUGAGCGGUAGGAUAAGUGCAAAGAAAUGUGGCACUGCUUCGGUAGUGUGUUAUAGUCUUUGUCGAUACUGCCAGCUUAGACUGAGGACUGCGGCUUCGGCCUAGGAUGUUGGCAUAAUGAUCUUAAGUCGCCCGUCUUGACCACGGGACCA